Long non-coding RNA from Cyprinus carpio (common carp), 481 nucleotides. RefSeq lists it as uncharacterized. NCBI's taxonomy places the organism in Eukaryota, Metazoa, Chordata, Actinopteri, Cypriniformes, Cyprinidae. The record is from RefSeq and is a predicted model, not a curated record. The transcript has 3 exons.
UUUUUUUAAAUAUUUUUAGUUAGCAGUUGCAUUUAUAAAAUGAUUUAUAUUCAGUAUGUAUUUGCAUAUAUAAAACUAUUUAUAUAAUCAUAUUUUCUUAGGAGAUGAUUUUUUUCAAAGUGACCUACAAAUGAAGAAUCCAACAAAGUGUGUCAUCCCGAGACAUCCCGACCAUCCUGACACAGCAACAUCAGGUCAACCAAUGGGAUGACUCUUGGAAUCAGACAGUGGUUAAACUUUCACGCUGAAGACAUGCAGACGUGAUCGCCAGAAUGUUGCACCUGAUUCCUGAACCCAGAGGAGAAUUUUAGAUUCAGAUGUUGCUCUUUUAAGGCUCCAGAGACUCCAAGGCAUCAUGAAAUUUACAUUAUUUACUUUUGCAAUACAUGUCUGUGGUCUCAUCGUGCAUGAUUCAUCAGUACACGCUGUUUGAAAGGACAAAAAGGUUUGUCACUUGUAAAUACGUCACAUUACGGAUGCA